This is a non-coding RNA of Salmo salar (Atlantic salmon), 832 nucleotides long. The record is from RefSeq and is a predicted model, not a curated record. Lineage: Eukaryota; Metazoa; Chordata; Actinopteri; Salmoniformes; Salmonidae.
AGCACUUGUUGCAGAAGAGGUAUUUGUGUGCUCGCCUGUUUUGUGUACAGAAACAGCUGUUGCGUCAUGCUAAGCGCCACACAGAUGAGAGGGAAUAUAUCUGUGAGUACUGUGCCAUGCCUUCAAGAGCUCCCAUAACCUGGCUGUUCAUCACGUGAUCCACACAGCAGAGAAGUCAAUCCUCGUCACCUGCCUCCAGAAGGCCUCCCUCAACUGGCACAUGAAGAAGCACGACUCCGACGCCACCUACCAGUUCUCCUGCUCCAUCUGCGGCAAGAAAUUUGAGAAGAAGGACAACGUGAUGGACUACAAGUCCAAGAGCCACCCGGAGGUGUUCAUUACUGAGGCCCUGGCGGCCAAAGCAGGGGCCCUCAUCACCAGCCCUGCCCCAAUCUUAAAGACUUUACCUGGGGCUGUGCCCCCCUGCCAUGGCCCCCUGUCAGCCAGGAAAACCAGGGCCUCAUCCCCCUGCAGAAGGUGGUGCUCCCCCUCACCCCUCAGAACCACCAGAUGGACACCUACCAGACCCAGCUACUACAGCUUGUCCCUCAGUACGAGACUACCACGCUGCUGCAGCUAAGUGCCCACCUCCUCUCGGGGGCCUCCCCCAUCAUCCAGCUGACGGCCCACCCAGCCACAACCACCACCUCCGGCCCCCUCACCACCAUUUUCCUCACCCUUAGGUCCAUUGGUGCCCUGUCAAACCAGUACCGUCACGACCCAUUAGGCCGUGGAGUGGGUUGGGGAGCCAGAGGGAGAGACCCAUAGGGGAGGGGAAAAGGUGACAUGGGAGAAGGUUGUGGUGGGGAGGGAGCAUGAAGGAGCAGUGGUG